GAUGAACGCUGGCGGCGUGCCUAACACAUGCAAGUCGAACGUUAGAGUGUAGCAAUAUGCUCGAAAGUGGCGAACGGGUGAGUAACACGUAGGUAACCUGCCGCGCAGAGGGGGAUAACGACUGGAAACGGUCGCUAAUACCGCAUGGUACCAUUUAGGGGGGACCCUGAAUGGUUAAAACCUUGGUGCUGCGCGAGGGGCCUGCGUCCGAUUAGUUAGUUGGUGAGGUAACGGCUCACCAAGACGAUGAUCGGUAGCUGGUCUGAGAGGAUGAUCAGUCACACGGGAACUGAGACACGGUCCCGACUCCUACGGGAGGCAG
Molecule: ribosomal RNA, 322 nt
Filed under: uncultured Chloroflexota bacterium
Lineage: Bacteria; Bacillati; Chloroflexota
Description: bacterial SSU rRNA
Rfam family: Bacterial small subunit ribosomal RNA
Source: RNAcentral